RNAcentral lists this small nucleolar RNA (181 nucleotides) under Neogobius melanostomus (round goby). Its description in RNAcentral is "Small nucleolar RNA U3 (ENSNMLG00000003029.1)". It matches the Rfam family "Small nucleolar RNA U3". Rfam says of the family: Small nucleolar RNAs (snoRNAs) are involved in the processing and modification of rRNA in the nucleolus. The record is from Rfam by way of RNAcentral. Lineage: Eukaryota; Metazoa; Chordata; Actinopteri; Gobiiformes; Gobiidae.
UCGACUAUACUUUCAGGGGUCAUUUCUAUAGUGUGUGGUCGCGCUUACCGCAAUGAAGCGUUAUGAGUACUUCUUCCUGAACAUGAAGAAGGUAGACCCUUGGUUCAUCCAUGUUCUCUGCUACUGAUGACUGUUCACUGUUUCUUUCAGAGAUGGAGGGGAUGAGUAUGAUCAGAGUGGU